AGCCAGAGCCUUGGAACCUCUGUGUGUCUAGCCUUGGCCUCAGGGAUCUGGUGGCAGUGCCAGAGAAGAUUCAGCUUUUCUAGACCCAGGCAGCUUAGAUGCCGUCUAAGUGAUUCCUUUACCAGCAAGCAACAUUU
RNAcentral lists this small nucleolar RNA (137 nucleotides) under Otolemur garnettii (small-eared galago). Lineage: Eukaryota; Metazoa; Chordata; Mammalia; Primates; Galagidae. The record is from RNAcentral.